This 553-nucleotide ribosomal RNA is filed under the name Cobanus sp. Ecuador. Its description in RNAcentral is "partial 16S ribosomal RNA". The stretch from base 165 to 461 matches the Rfam family "Bacterial large subunit ribosomal RNA", at positions 2073 to 2647 of the family's 2925-position model. Lineage: Eukaryota; Metazoa; Arthropoda; Arachnida; Araneae; Salticidae. The record is from RNAcentral.
AAUAGUAAAAUCUGCUCAAUGAAAAUAAAUAGCCGCAAUUAGUGCUAAGGUAGCAUAAUCAUUUGUCUCUUAAAUGGAGACUAGAACAAAAGAUUUAACAUUUCAAUUUAUAUAUUCAAUUUGAAUAUCUAAUUUUUCCUAAAUGUAAAAAGACAUUUAUUUUAUAAAAAGACGAUAAGACCCUAUUGAACUUAACUUAAGUUAAACUGGGGCAGUUAAUUAAUUAUAAUUUUAAUUGAAAUACAAACAUAAUAAUCUAGUAAAAUUAAUUAAUUAAGUUACCAUAGGGAUAACAGCGCAAUUAUAUUUUAGAGUUCUUAUCUAAAAAAUAGAUUACGACCUCGAUGUUGAAUUAAUAACCUAUAUAAAGCAAAUUUUAAAAAAGGAAGUCUGUUCGACUUUUAAAAAAUUACAUGAUUUGAGUUCAGACCGGUAUAAGCCAGGUCGGCUUCUAUCUUUUAAAAAUAACUUUACAGUACGAAAGGACCUAAAGUACAAUUUCAUUUAAUAUAUUUGGCAGAAAAAUGCAUUAGAAUUAGAAUCUAAUAAAACU